This 1433-nucleotide ribosomal RNA is filed under the name uncultured organism. RNAcentral describes it as "16S ribosomal RNA". It matches the Rfam family "Bacterial small subunit ribosomal RNA". The record is from RNAcentral.
GCGGCGUGCUUAACACAUGCAAGUCGAACGGAAAGGCCCUGCUUUUGUGGGGUGCUCGAGUGGCGAACGGGUGAGUAACACGUGAGUAACCUGCCCUUGACUUUGGGAUAACUUCAGGAAACUGGGGCUAAUACCGGAUAGGAGCUCCUGCUGCAUGGUGGGGGUUGGAAAGUUUCGGCGGUUGGGGAUGGACUCGCGGCUUAUCAGCUUGUUGGUGGGGUAGUGGCUUACCAAGGCUUUGACGGGUAGCCGGCCUGAGAGGGUGACCGGCCACAUUGGGACUGAGAUACGGCCCAGACUCCUACGGGAGGCAGCAGUGGGGAAUAUUGCACAAUGGGCGGAAGCCUGAUGCAGCAACGCCGCGUGCGGGAUGACGGCCUUCGGGUUGUAAACCGCUUUCGCCUGUGACGAAGCGUGAGUGACGGUAAUGGGUAAAGAAGCACCGGCUAACUACGUGCCAGCAGCCGCGGUGAUACGUAGGGUGCGAGCGUUGUCCGGAUUUAUUGGGCGUAAAGGGCUCGUAGGUGGUUGAUCGCGUCGGAAGUGUAAUCUUGGGGCUUAACCCUGAGCGUGCUUUCGAUACGGGUUGACUUGAGGAAGGUAGGGGAGAAUGGAAUUCCUGGUGGAGCGGUGGAAUGCGCAGAUAUCAGGAGGAACACCAGUGGCGAAGGCGGUUCUCUGGGCCUUUCCUGACGCUGAGGAGCGAAAGCGUGGGGAGCGAACAGGCUUAGAUACCCUGGUAGUCCACGCUGUAAACGGUGGGUACUAGGUGUGGGGUCCAUUCCACGGGUUCCGUGCCGUAGCUAACGCUUUAAGUACCCCGCCUGGGGAGUACGGCCGCAAGGCUAAAACUCAAAGGAAUUGACGGGGCCCCGCACAAGCGGCGGAGCAUGCGGAUUAAUUCGAUGCAACGCGUAGAACCUUACCUGGGUUUGACAUGGAUCGGGAGUGCUCAGAGAUGGGUGUGCCUCUUUUGGGGUCGGUUCACAGGUGGUGCAUGCCUGUCGUCAGCUCGUGUCGUGAGAUGUUGGGUUAAGUCCCGCAACGAGCGCAACCCUUGUUCACUGUUGCCAGCACGUUAUGGUGGGGACUCAGUGGAGACCGCCGGGGUCAACUCGGAGGAAGGUGGGGAUGACGUCAAGUCCUCAUGCCCCUUAUGUCCAGGGCUUCACGCAUGCUACAAUGGCUGGUACAGAGAGUGGCGAGCCUGUGAGGGUGAGCGAAUCUCGGAAAGCCGGUCUCAGUUCGGAUUGGGGUCUGCAACUCGACCUCAUGAAGUCGGAGUCGCUAGUAAUCGCAGAUCAGCAACGCUGCGGUGAAUACGUUCCCGGGGCUUGUACACACCGCCCGUCAAGUCAUGAAAGUUGGUAACACCCGAAGCCGGUGGCCUAACCGUUGUGGGGGAGCCGUCGAAGGUGGGACUGGUGAUUAGG